RNAcentral lists this ribosomal RNA (253 nucleotides) under uncultured bacterium. RNAcentral describes it as "partial 16S ribosomal RNA". It matches the Rfam family "Bacterial small subunit ribosomal RNA", at positions 524 to 776 of the family's 1533-position model. The record is from RNAcentral.
UACGAAGGGGGCUAGCGUUGCUCGGAAUUACUGGGCGUAAAGGGCGCGUAGGCGGAUGUUUAAGUCGGGGGUGAAAGCCCGGGGCUCAACCUCGGAAUUGCCUUCGAUACUGAACAUCUUGAGUACGGGAGAGGUGAGUGGAACUCCGAGUGUAGAGGUGAAAUUCGUAGAUAUUCGGAAGAACACCAGUGGCGAAGGCGACUCACUGGCCCGUUACUGACGCUGAGGCGCGAAAGCGUGGGGAGCAAACAGG